CAAAUUGAGAGUUUGAUCCUGGCUCAGGACGAACGCUGGCGGCGUGCCUAAUACAUGCAAGUCGAGCGAGCUGAAUUCAAAGAUUCCUUCGGGAUGAUUUGUUGGACGCUAGCGGCGGAUGGGUGAGUAACACGUGGGCAAUCUGCCCUAAAGACUGGGAUACCACUUGGAAACAGGUGCUAAUACCGGAUAACAACAUGAAUCGCAUGAUUCAAGUUUGA
This 221-nucleotide ribosomal RNA is filed under the name Lactobacillus delbrueckii. RNAcentral's name for it is "partial 16S ribosomal RNA". It matches the Rfam family "Bacterial small subunit ribosomal RNA", at positions 1 to 204 of the family's 1533-position model. RNAcentral also lists the same sequence under 2 other names. Lineage: Bacteria; Bacillati; Bacillota; Bacilli; Lactobacillales; Lactobacillaceae. The record is from RNAcentral.